AUUGCUUCUUGGCCUUUUGGCUAAGAUCAAGCAUAGUACCAGCCUUUAUCAGUUUAAUAUUUGAUAUAUCCUCUAUCUUAAAAGUCAACCAUGUUUAAGGAUAUUUCUGAGAAGCCCCACUCUUAGAUGUCAUUGGUGUAAAAAGUAUCACAUGACCAUUCUUAACUGCAAAGGAGUA
This is a small nuclear RNA of Microcebus murinus (gray mouse lemur), 178 nucleotides long. Its record names the gene U2. It matches the Rfam family "U2 spliceosomal RNA". Rfam says of the family: U2 is a small nuclear RNA (snRNA) component of the spliceosome (involved in pre-mRNA splicing). The record is from Ensembl. Lineage: Eukaryota; Metazoa; Chordata; Mammalia; Primates; Cheirogaleidae.